GAUGAACGCUGGCGGCGUGCCUAAUACAUGCAAGUCGAGCGAACAGACGAGGAGCUUGCUCCUCUGACGUUAGCGGCGGACGGGUGAGUAACACGUGGAUAACCUACCUAUAAGACUGGGAUAACUUCGGGAAACCGGAGCUAAUACCGGAUAAUAUAUUGAACCGCAUGGUUCAAUAGUGAAAGACGGUUUUGCUGUCACUUAUAGAUGGAUCCGCGCCGCAUUAGCUAGUUGGUAAGGUAACGGCUUACCAAGGCAACGAUGCGUAGCCGACCUGAGAGGGUGAUCGGCCACACUGGAACUGAGACACGGUCCAGACUCCUACGGGAGGCAGCAGUAGGGAAUCUUCCGCAAUGGGCGAAAGCCUGACGGAGCAACGCCGGGUGAGUGAUGAAGGUCUUCGGAUCGUAAAACUCUGUUAUUAGGGAAGAACAAAUGUGUAAGUAACUAUGCACGUCUUGACGGUACCUAAUCAGAAAGCCACGGCUAACUACGU
Molecule: ribosomal RNA, 496 nt
Filed under: uncultured bacterium
Lineage: Bacteria
Description: partial 16S ribosomal RNA
Rfam family: Bacterial small subunit ribosomal RNA
Source: RNAcentral